CGGCCGCCCGGGGCGUGGACGCUGGCGCGAGGCCCCCCCUCCGGAACCCUCGGAGCGCCAGGCAGCUGUGCAGGGGGACGCUUCAGUCCCCCGCCUUCAUUCAGACGACGGCGACGGAGUGCCAGAUACUGCACUAGCCCCCUGGACACAAUUCUAAACGACUGGACAAGUAUCGUUCUUUCACUCCAAAAGAGGAGAAAGACAUUAAACAAUCCAUCAUCCAAACAGAUAAUCAUUGAACUCUGAGAGUCAUGACAGUUGAGUGACUGGAGGCGGUCCUGUCCUGCGAGAGGCUCACACAGCCUUCCAGCCAUGACUUCUUCCCUAAGGAGUUGCCUUCUGGCUGAUCUGCUUGGGGGCACCUGGGCAUCCUACCAAUGAGAUCAAAGUUCCUGCUGCCCCGAGAAGUUAGUUUUGCUGAUGCUUCCUCUGAUCCCUCAACCAGCCUGGAUUCCACCCAGAUCUCUAAGAGGUGCCACCUCCUUUCAAGUUCCUUUGUUGUUUCCCAGAAGCCGUGCCCUUUCAUUACUCUUCCCAAAUAUUUCCUGCCUACCUCUCCACUUCCACACGGGCUCCACUGCUGGUGCUACUGAUUUCAGGCACUGAAAUGGGGAAAUGCAAAGUGUCAACUCCUGAUGGACUAUGAAAUCUAAUCUUUCCAUGGGAGGCCUUCUAGACUUGUUAAAGAAUACAUAGAAUUCUGGCUAGGAAAAAAGCUGGCCACUAGAGACUCAACACAACUCAAGUCCUAGCCACCUCCAAGCGGCCGGGCUCUCCACCCUGACUCCUGGAAUUCCUGCCCAAAGCCAAAGGUGCCUUGGUUGCAGAGCCCUUAAUAUGGUCCCUUGGUGUCUUUGGGCAGUGAGAGUUAGAAUGAGGAAAAACAGCUGAGUAGUAAGUGGAGUAGAGCUGAAGUCUUCAUCUACCACUUACUGCAUGAGU
Molecule: long non-coding RNA, 942 nt
Organism: Mustela lutreola (European mink)
Lineage: Eukaryota; Metazoa; Chordata; Mammalia; Carnivora; Mustelidae
Exons: 5
Source: RefSeq, a predicted model, not a curated record